This 277-nucleotide ribosomal RNA is filed under the name uncultured bacterium. RNAcentral's name for it is "partial 16S ribosomal RNA". It matches the Rfam family "Bacterial small subunit ribosomal RNA", at positions 32 to 297 of the family's 1533-position model. The record is from RNAcentral.
AAUCAACGCUGGCGGCGUGCCUCAGACAUGCAAGUCGGACGAUUAAGACUCCCUUCGGGGAGUGUAUAAAGUGGCGCACGGGUGAGUAACACGUAGGUAAUCUGCCUUUGAGUGGGGAACAACCAUCGGAAACGAUGGCUAAUACCGCAUAAUGCAGCGGCACCGCAAGGUGACAGUUGUUAAAGCGAGCAAUCGCGCUUAAAGAGGAGCCUGCGGCAGAUUAGGUAGUUGGUGAGGUAAUGGCUCACCAAGCCUGCGAUCUGUAGCCGACCUGAGA